CCCGCCGUGGGUGGCGGGCGGCGACCGGAGCGUGUUCGUGCCGUUGGGAGCCGGUGGCCAACGGACCACCCCGGUCCCGUCCCGGGCGGUGGGC
Molecule: transfer RNA, 94 nt
Filed under: Micromonospora sp. MW-13
Lineage: Bacteria; Bacillati; Actinomycetota; Actinomycetes; Micromonosporales; Micromonosporaceae
Description: tRNA-Arg
Source: RNAcentral